UCCAAUCGACCCUCGGCGAGUAGAGUAAAAAUGGGAAAGCUGCAUUAAGAAACAGAGAUAAAAUUAGAAACACAAGCAAGACAAAAUCAAAUAAUAAAGUAUAGGUACUCCCACAAAAGUAACGUAAAUAGUUAUGAAAACAUAAGCAACAUAAAUACAGUCGCAUGCAGUAAUAUCAAGCAGGAUCUACCAUACUACAAUACUAAUCACCUAUGAGCCCCUAGCUUACAAUCUUGAUUCUAGACUCCCCUACGUGUCAACAUAUUAUUCGUUCAUUUCCAUGUAAGUAGCCAUUGGACCUUACGCACAAUGUCUAAUAUACAGAGGUAUUUAAAAC
This 337-nucleotide long non-coding RNA is filed under the name Nicotiana benthamiana. RNAcentral's name for it is "long non-coding RNA (NBEN_LNC019104)". The record is from RNAcentral. Lineage: Eukaryota; Viridiplantae; Streptophyta; Magnoliopsida; Solanales; Solanaceae.